GUCGAGGAUCUUCGGCAAUGGGCGCAAGCCUGACCGAGCGACGCCGCGUGUGCGAUGAAGGCCCUCGGGUUGUAAAGCACUGUCGAGGGGGAGAAAGGCCCGCAAGGGCUUGAUCUAUCCCUGGAGGAAGCACGGGCUAAGUUCGUGCCAGCAGCCGCGGUAAGACGAACCGUGCGAACGUUGUUCGGAAUCAUUGGGCUUAAAGGGCGCGUAGGCGGGCUUCCAAGUCCGGGGUGAAAUCCUCCAGCUUAACUGGAGAACUGCCCCGGAUACUGGAGGUCUCGAGGAAGGUAGGGGCAUGCGGAACUGUGGGUGGAGCGGUGAAAUGCGUUGAUAUCCACAGGAACUCCGGUGGCGAAGGCGGCGUGCUGGACCUUUUCUGACGCUGAGGCGCGAAAGCCAGGGGAGCAAACGGGAUUAGAUACCCCGGUAGUCCUGGCCCUAAACGAUGAGAACUAGGUAGUAGACUAUCAUGGGUUUACUGCCGAAGCAAAAGUGCUAAGUUCUCCGCCUGGGGAGUAUGGUCGCAAGGC
This 533-nucleotide ribosomal RNA is filed under the name uncultured bacterium. RNAcentral's name for it is "bacterial SSU rRNA". It matches the Rfam family "Bacterial small subunit ribosomal RNA", at positions 354 to 894 of the family's 1533-position model. The record is from RNAcentral.